CCUGCUAGAUGCACCUUUCACUUUAGAUAAGAUCGAAAAUGCUAUUUUCAGCUUUCAAAUUGAUAAAAGUCCUGGUCCAGAUAGCUUCUCAAUGAUUUUCUUUUAGAAGUUCUGAGAUAUUGUUGCUCAGGAUAUAAUUACUUUAUUCCAACAAAUUUUUGACUCUAAUGUUGAUUUAGCUCGUCUGAAUUAUGCUUAUU
RNAcentral lists this long non-coding RNA (200 nucleotides) under Elaeis guineensis (African oil palm). Its description in RNAcentral is "long non-coding RNA (EGUI_LNC008674)". The record is from RNAcentral. Lineage: Eukaryota; Viridiplantae; Streptophyta; Magnoliopsida; Arecales; Arecaceae.